CCUACGGGGUGCAGCAGUGAGGACUAUUGGUCAAUGGACGAGAGUCUGAACCAGCCAAGUAGCGUGCAGGAUGACUGCCCUAUGGGUUGUACCCUUCUUUUAUAUGGGAAUAAAAUGUUCCACGUGUGGGAUUUUGUAUGUACCAUAUGAAUAAGGAUCGGCUAACUCCGUGCCAGCAGCCGCGGUAAUACGGAGGAUCCGAGCGUUUUCCGGAUUUAUUGGGUUUAAAGGGAGCGUAGGUGGAUUGUUAAGUCAGUUGUGAAAGUUUGCGGCUCAACCGUAAAAUUGCAGUUGAAACUGGCAGUCUUGAGUACAGUAGAGGUGGGCGGAAUGCGUGGUGUAGCGGUGAAAUGCUUAGAUAUCACGAAGAACUCCGAUUGCGAAGGCAGUUCACUGGACUGCAACUGACACUGAGGCUCGAAAGUGUGGGUAUCAAACAGGAUUAGAUACCCUUGUAGUC
This 460-nucleotide ribosomal RNA is filed under the name uncultured bacterium. RNAcentral describes it as "partial 16S ribosomal RNA". It matches the Rfam family "Bacterial small subunit ribosomal RNA", at positions 338 to 795 of the family's 1533-position model. The record is from RNAcentral.